GAUGAACGCUAGCUACAGGCUUAACACAUGCAAGUCGAGGGGUAACGAGAGGAAAGCUUGCUUUCCUUGUCGACGACCGGCGCACGGGUGAGUAACGCGUAUCCAACCUGCCCCCAACUAGGGAAUAACCUUGCGAAAGUAAGACUAAUACCCUAUAAUUUCCUCAGAUGUCAUCUGACGAGGAAUAAAGAUUUAUCGGUUGUGGAUGGGGAUGCGUCUGAUUAGCUUGUUGGCGGGGUAACGGCCCACCAAGGCAACGAUCAGUAGGGGUUGUGCGAGGAAUGUCCCCCACAUUGGAACUGAGACACGGUCCCAACUCCUACGGGAGCCAGCAGUGAGGCAUAUUGGUCAAUGGGCGGAAGCCUGAACCAGCCAAGUAGCGUGUAGGAUGACGGCCUUAUGGGUUGUAAACUGCUUUUAUACAGGAAUAAAGUUAGCCACGUGUGGUUAUUUGUAGGUACUGUAUGAAUAAGGACCGGCUAAUUCCGUGCCAGCCGCCGCCGUAA
Molecule: ribosomal RNA, 506 nt
Filed under: uncultured bacterium
Lineage: Bacteria
Description: partial 16S ribosomal RNA
Rfam family: Bacterial small subunit ribosomal RNA
Source: RNAcentral